UACGGGGGGGGCAAGCGUUGUUCGGAAUUACUGGGCGUAAAGCGCGUGUAGGCGGCUCUGUAAGUCGGGUGUGAAAUCCCACGGCUCAACCGUGGAAGUGCACUCGAAACUACAGGGCUAGAGUCCUGGAGAGGAAGGUGGAAUGCUUGGUGUAGAGGUGAAAUUCGUAGAUAUCAAGCGGAACACCGGUGGCGAAGGCGGCCUUCUGGACAGUGACUGACGCUGAGACGCGAAAGCGUGGGGAGCAAACAGG
This 253-nucleotide ribosomal RNA is filed under the name uncultured bacterium. RNAcentral's name for it is "partial 16S ribosomal RNA". It matches the Rfam family "Bacterial small subunit ribosomal RNA", at positions 524 to 776 of the family's 1533-position model. The record is from RNAcentral.